RNAcentral lists this ribosomal RNA (488 nucleotides) under uncultured bacterium. RNAcentral's name for it is "bacterial SSU rRNA". It matches the Rfam family "Bacterial small subunit ribosomal RNA", at positions 501 to 987 of the family's 1533-position model. The record is from RNAcentral.
CUACGUGCCAGCAGCCGCGGUAAUACGUAGGUGGCAAGCGUUGUCCGGAAUUAUUGGGCGUAAAGCGCGCGCAGGCGGAUCAGUCAGUCUGUCUUAAAAGUUCGGGGCUUAACCCCGUGAUGGGAUGGAAACUGCUGAUCUAGAGUAUCGGAGAGGAAAGUGGAAUUCCUAGUGUAGCGGUGAAAUGCGUAGAUAUUAGGAGGAACACCAGUGGCGAAGGCGGCUUUUUGGCCUGUAACUGACACUGAGGCGCGAAAGCGUGGGGAGCAAACAGGAUUAGAUACCCUGGUAGUCCAUGCCGUAAACGUUGGGCACUAGGUGKGGGGGACAUUCCACGUUUUCCGCGCCGUAGCUAACGCAUUAAGUGCCCCGCCUGGGGAGUACGGCCGCAAGGCUAAAACUCAAAGAAAUUGACGGGGGCCCGCACAAGCGGCGGAGCAUGCGGAUUAAUUCGAUGCAACGCGAAGAACCUUACCAAGGCUUGACAU